RNAcentral lists this ribosomal RNA (834 nucleotides) under Arthrobacter sp. RO-3. Its description in RNAcentral is "bacterial SSU rRNA". It matches the Rfam family "Bacterial small subunit ribosomal RNA", at positions 67 to 907 of the family's 1533-position model. Lineage: Bacteria; Bacillati; Actinomycetota; Actinomycetes; Micrococcales; Micrococcaceae. The record is from RNAcentral.
CGAUGAUGGGAGCUUGCUCCUGGAUUAGUGGCGAAACGGGUGAGUAACACGUGAGUAACCUGCCCUUUAACUCUGGGAUAAGCCUGGGAAACUGGGUCUAAUACCGGAUAUGACUCCUCAUCGCAUGGUGGGGGGUGGAAAGCUUUAUUGUGGUUUUUGGAUGGACUCGCGGCCUAUCAGCUUGUUGGUGAGGUAAUGGCUUACCAAGGCGACGACGGGUAGCCGGCCUGAGAGGGUGACCGGCCACACUGGGACUGAGACACGGCCCAGACUCCUACGGGAGGCAGCAGUGGGGAAUAUUGCACAAUGGGCGCAAGCCUGAUGCAGCGACGCCGCGUGAGGGAUGACGGCCUUCGGGUUGUAAACCUCUUUCAGUAGGGAAGAAGCGAAAGUGACGGUACCUGCAGAAGAAGCGCCGGCUAACUACGUGCCAGCAGCCGCGGUAAKRCGUAGGGCGCAAGCGUUAUCCGGAAUUAUUGGGCGUAAAGAGCUCGUAGGCGGUUUGUCGCGUCUGCCGUGAAAGUCCGGGGCUCAACUCCGGAUCUGCGGUGGGUACGGGCAGACUAGAGUGAUGUAGGGGAGACUGGAAUUCCUGGUGUAGCGGUGAAAUGCGCAGAUAUCAGGAGGAACACCGAUGGCGAAGGCAGGUCUCUGGGCAUUAACUGACGCUGAGGAGCGAAAGCAUGGGGAGCGAACAGGAUUAGAUACCCUGGUAGUCCAUGCCGUAAACGUUGGGCACUAGGUGUGGGGGGACAUUCCACGUUUUCCGCGCCGUAGCUAACGCAUUAAGUGCCCCGCCUGGGGGAGUACGGCCGCAAGGCUAAAACUCAAAUG